RNAcentral lists this ribosomal RNA (568 nucleotides) under uncultured organism. RNAcentral describes it as "bacterial SSU rRNA". It matches the Rfam family "Bacterial small subunit ribosomal RNA", at positions 383 to 941 of the family's 1533-position model. The record is from RNAcentral.
CUGACGCAGCAACGCCGCGUGAGCGAUGAAGGUCUUCGGAUCGUAAAGCUCUGUUGAGUGGGAAGAAACGUCUCGGGGUUAAUAUCUCCGAGGCCUGACGGUACCACUCGAGGAAGCUCCGGCCAACUACGUGCCAGCAGCCGCGGUAAUACGUAUGGAGCGAGCGUUGUUCGGAAUCACUGGGCGUAAAGGGAGUGCAGGCGGAAAGGUAAGUCAGAAGUGUAAUCUACGGGCUUAACCCGUAUCUCGCUUUUGAUACUGCUUUUCUUGAGUAGUGGAGAGGGAAACGGAAUUCCAGGUGUAGCGGUGGAAUGCGUAGAUAUCUGGAAGAACACCAGUAGCGAAGGCGGUUUCCUGGCCACAUACUGACGCUGAGGCUCGAAAGCAUGGGGAGCAAACAGGAUUAGAUACCCUGGUAGUCCACGCCGUAAACGAUGGGCACUAGAUAUCGGGGAAUUCGAUUUCUUCGGUGUCGCAGUUAACGCGAUAAGUGCCCCGCCUGGGGAGUACGCCCGCAAGGGUGAAACUCAAAGGAAUUGACGGGGGCCCGCACAAGCGGUGGAGCAUG